UGCCAGCCGCCGCGGUAAUACGUAGGUGGCAAGCGUUGUCCGGAAUUAUUGGGCGUAAAGGGUGCGUAGGCGGUCUUUUAAGUCAGAUGUGAAAGCCCACAGCUUAACUGUGGAGGGUCGUUUGAAACUGGAAGACUUGAGUACUGGAGAGGAGAGUGGAAUUCCAUGUGUAGCGGUGAAAUGCGUAGAUAUAUGGAGGAACACCAGUGGCGAAGGCGGCCAACUGGACGAGUACUGACACUGAGGUACGAAAGCGUGGGUAGCAAACAGGAUUAGAUA
Molecule: ribosomal RNA, 279 nt
Filed under: uncultured bacterium
Lineage: Bacteria
Description: partial 16S ribosomal RNA
Rfam family: Bacterial small subunit ribosomal RNA
Source: RNAcentral